UUUUAUUGAUUUUAUAGUAAAAUUUUAUAUGCAGACUUGUUUAAGGUUGAAUUAUGUUUAAUUCAUAGCUGAUUCUAUUUAUUUUGCAGAAGGUUUUGUGCAGUUCAAUGUUGCUGAAAAAUAGCAUUUCUUCAAUCAAGGUUAGGACUUGUGAUAUGAACUGUUUGGGAAUCAGAGGAACAUGGAGCAAAGGAAGAAGAAAGAAGGAGUAAAGCCACACUGUCAGGUAGAAUUAUGCUCUAUAUAAAUGUGAUUUUU
RNAcentral lists this long non-coding RNA (258 nucleotides) under Zonotrichia albicollis (white-throated sparrow). RNAcentral's name for it is "lncRNA (ENSZALG00000013200.1)". The record is from RNAcentral. Lineage: Eukaryota; Metazoa; Chordata; Aves; Passeriformes; Passerellidae.